Molecule: ribosomal RNA, 119 nt
Filed under: Petromyzon marinus (sea lamprey)
Lineage: Eukaryota; Metazoa; Chordata; Hyperoartia; Petromyzontiformes; Petromyzontidae
Source: RNAcentral
UUGUAUAACCAAAAUGCUCUGAUUGUGCCCGAUCUCAUCCAAUGUCAGAAGCUAUACAGGGUUCAACCUGGUUAGUACUUGGAUGGUAGACUGCCCGAUAAUACUGAGUGUGGUAGGCU